AGAGUUUGAUCCUGGCUCAGAUUGAACGCUGGCGGCAGGCCUAACACAUGCAAGUCGAGCGGUAGAGAGAAGCUUGCCUCUCUUGAGAGCGGCGGACGGGUGAGUAAUAUAUCGGAACGUACCCUAGAGUGGGGGAUAACGUAGCGAAAGUUACGCUAAUACCGCAUACGAUCUAAGGAUGAAAGUGGGGGAUCGCAAGACCUCAUGCUCGUGGAGCGGCCGAUAUCUGAUUAGCUAGUUGGUAGGGUAAAAGCCUACCAAGGCAUCGAUCAGUAGCUGGUCUGAGAGGACGACCAGCCACACUGGAACUGAGACACGGUCCAGACUCCUACGGGAGGCAGCAGUGGGGAAUAUUGGACAAUGGGCGAAAGCCUGAUCCAGCCAUGCCGCGUGUGUGAAGAAGGUCUUCGGAUUGUAAAGCACUUUAAGUUGGGAGGAAGGGCAGUUACCUAAUACGUGAUUGUUUUGACGUCACCGACAGAAUAAGCACCGGCUAACUCUGUGCCAGCAGCCGCGGUAAU
Molecule: ribosomal RNA, 521 nt
Filed under: uncultured bacterium
Lineage: Bacteria
Description: bacterial SSU rRNA
Rfam family: Bacterial small subunit ribosomal RNA
Source: RNAcentral